ACUUUCUGUCAGCCCUGCGCUCCAGAGGGAGGAGAAGGAGAGAGAAAGAGAGAGGGGAGAGAGAAUCAAGGGGCCAUCUGUUUUGUCCCUAUCCUACACUUUUAAAAAGUGUUGUCUCCCCUUUGAGCAGACAGGAUGGAGAACGCACACACCAAAGAAACAGCAGAAUGCCUGGCCUACUUCAGCGUGAGCGAGACCACAGGCCUCGCUCCGGAUCAGGUCAAGAAAAACCAAGACAAGUAUGGAUUCAAUGAGCUGCCCGCUGAAGAAGGUAAGAGCAUCUGGGAGCUGGUGGUUGAGCAGUUUGAAGAUCUCUUGGUCAGGAUCCUGCUGUUGGCUGCUUGCAUCUCUUUUGUA
This is a long non-coding RNA of Sinocyclocheilus rhinocerous, 357 nucleotides long. RefSeq lists it as uncharacterized. The record is from RefSeq and is a predicted model, not a curated record. The transcript has 4 exons. Lineage: Eukaryota; Metazoa; Chordata; Actinopteri; Cypriniformes; Cyprinidae.